Drosophila melanogaster (fruit fly) is the source of this 503-nucleotide non-coding RNA. The record is from Ensembl. Lineage: Eukaryota; Metazoa; Arthropoda; Insecta; Diptera; Drosophilidae.
UCAAACGAACUAUAAUAUAAAAUCGCAUCUACACAUCUAUUGAUUCUACGUCUCGAAUUCUCUUCCUAAUUCCGAACCCUGAAUUUGCGCAGAAUUUAAUGCUGAUCGAUUUGUGGCAUUACAAACAGCUAAUUUAUAUGGACCAAUAAACUAUUACUAAAUGGCGUAAUCCAAUUUGGCGUACAUCUAGAAUGCAACGCAGGGUAAACACCACGAAGCUGACGAGUUCAAAGAUCAUUCGGGGAUCAUUCUUGGGCUGGGGUAUUCGCUGGAAGCCAGGUGCCGCCAUACGGACAACCAUCAACGGAUUUUACGGACACGCAUUAAUGGCCAUUGAUUGACGACGACUCGAGCGUAAAUAAACAGCUUCCAGUGAAAAAAUUAUGAAGAGUUUUUGGCGUAAACAAAUUUGGAACUAAAAUCAUAUCGGAACGGAAUCGAAUCGAAUCGAAACGAGGCGAAUCACAUUGGCGCCAGCUGGCGAAGUACACUCAACAAAUUUU